RNAcentral lists this unclassified non-coding RNA (304 nucleotides) under uncultured fungus. RNAcentral describes it as "partial contains 5.8S ribosomal RNA, internal transcribed spacer 2, and large subunit ribosomal RNA". Lineage: Eukaryota; Fungi. RNAcentral also lists the same sequence under 1 other name. The record is from RNAcentral.
AACGCACCUUGCGCUCCCUGGUAUUCCGGGGAGCAUGCCUGUUUGAGUAUCAUGAAAUUCUCAAUCUUCAAUGCUUUUUUUUGUAUUGAAGACUUGGACUUGGAGGUUUGUGCUGGCUCUCGUUAGUCGGCUCCUCUUAAAUGUAUUAGCAUCAAUAUUUUAUGGAUCGCUUCGGUGUGAUAAUUAUCUGCGCCGUUGUCGUGAAGUAUCUUAAUAUAUAUGUUGGCGCUUCUAAUCGUUCCUUCAAGGGACAAUUACUUUGACUUUUGAUCUCAAAUCAGGUAGGACUACCCGCUGAACUUAA